UCUAAUAAAAGUGGCAACUGUUGCUUGGCAAAUCGUAAAAAGAUGGGAGAUGUCCAACAUUUUCCUUCGCUUUGCUUUGCUUCGCCACGAUGUGACUCAUACAAUUUUGGUCGUGUGAACUUGAACAACGAGUAAUAAGUGCUAAGUUGUUGGAAUUAGAAAUAAAGAUAAGUGUAUAGCCAUUAAAUUGGAACUUUUGAUUAACAAUCUAUUUUAAAUCUAGAUUUAUCGAGAAAUCCGUUACAAUUGGUGUCAGAAGUGGAAUUGUCAAAUAAAUUCCCAAGGAUAUAAUUAUAUGAAAAUGACCAAGUAAUGUACAAGGCACAUAGCAGUGCAAAUGUCGCAGAUGUCAACGCAGACGUUAACACAAAUAUCGACACAGUUUAAAGAGCAGUUAGAAUCGCAGUUAGAAACGUUGGAAGAGCAAUCCGCAGCGCAAGAUGCACGUAUAUUAGCCCAGGUGUCCUCACAGUUGAACGCAAAGAUAAAGUAGCUACAUUGUUCGUUGCGUUUAAAGGUCCUGCAGCGAAGAUAUUACAAACCAUUUCAAACUGCGAGUCUAGUAGUUAUAAAACGUUAAUGGAUGCAUUAGACGGUAUGGAACGCACAAAGAGCCAAUAAGUCUCUGCAGGAGUUUUCUACAGAAAUUAAUAGGAAACCGAAUCUCUGCUUAGCAAUCGAACAUUCAAAGCUGGUGAACCAAUUACUUGAAAAAAUUGAAGAAAAUAUGCAGAGACUAGAAAAAUCUACAGAAAUGCGUAAGAAAAAUUAUGGUGUGGUUAAAUGCUUCAACUGCGGAAAAAGUGGCUAUAUUGCACGCAAGUGUAACCAGUCCAAUUCAGUUGGACGUAAACGCAAAGCUGAGGAAGAUCAAGCAAAUGUCAAAUCCAACCAAUCGUUCAACUAAAGCGAGCCAGACGAAAAGGGCACGGGCUGGCUCCCGCAGGCAAAUGCCCUGUAAUCUCCAUUUCACAAAUAAGCAGGAACACGAGUAACGGUAUCGUUAGUGUAUGUGUUGACGGCAAAAAGCGUAUACUGACUGUGGAUACGAGCGCGUCACAUUCCAUGAUUCGAUGUGAUCUGGUUAAUAAAGAAGUAAGCCCAUUAGUACUGCAACCGGAGAAGAUAUCAAGUUCUCGGAGAAGUAACGUGCGAAAUCGUAAUUGAAAAGGCAGCCAUGUUACAUAAUUUAAUAGUGACAGAUAUUAUCGACGAGGUCAUAAUUGAGUAGACUUUCUAGCAAAACAAGAAAUCAUAAUUGAUAUGGAGAUGAAGAUUAUGGCCUAUACAAAUAUGGAAGUGCCAUUUAUGUUCGGUUACGAUAAUAAGUACAACGUUAGACGAGUUAUAACAACAGAGAGCCAGCAGAUUCCACCAAAAUCAGAAGCAGUUAUUUAGGCAGAUAUAGAUGGAGACUAUGGGCCAAUAAAGUUGUGGAUUGUUAAGGCCACAAAAGAAUAUACACCAAACUUACUUUUAGGCAAAACCCUAGCUAUGAAAAAACAAGAUGAACGUGUUCCAGUAAGAGUACUCAUUAAGUGCAAGUGACCAUUUAAACUGUCCAAAGCCAUACUAGGGCAGUGUCAAGAGAUUGAGGCCGUGAUAAAUUGCAAAAUAGGUCUUGAGGAAGAUUUCAUAGACGAAAACAACAUAUUGAGCGAAAUUAACAGGUAAUUUUUGGUAAUGAUCUUCGACUACCGAUUAAUUUGAGAUUUAGAAUUAACGCAAACGAAGGCAGGAAUGCUAAGGAAGUCAACAGCAUCCUAGAAGACGGGAUAAGGGAUAUACAAGCCAUGGUAAGACAGCGCACCAAAAUUAUGAGCGACAAAAUGAAAGCAAAAUACGACAAGGCAAUGAACUCUGACACAAUAAGUCGAAAGAAAGGGCUGUCUCCUCAAAUAAGAGUGUAAUUGGGAAGGACCAUAACAGGUUAUUAAACGAGUCAACGAUGUAGUGUAACCAUGGGAAAACCAAGGAAUAAAAUGAAGGUAGUUCAUCUGGAACGGCUUGCAGCGUUUGAUACCGCAAAUAUGUCUAAUCAA
This is a non-coding RNA of Bactrocera oleae (olive fruit fly), 2042 nucleotides long. Lineage: Eukaryota; Metazoa; Arthropoda; Insecta; Diptera; Tephritidae. The record is from RefSeq and is a predicted model, not a curated record.